RNAcentral lists this ribosomal RNA (505 nucleotides) under uncultured bacterium. RNAcentral's name for it is "partial 16S ribosomal RNA". It matches the Rfam family "Bacterial small subunit ribosomal RNA", at positions 28 to 507 of the family's 1533-position model. The record is from RNAcentral.
GACGAACGCUGGCGGCGUGCCUAAUACAUGCAAGUAGAACGCACAGUUUAUACCGUAGCUUGCUACACCAUAAACUGUGAGUUGCGAACGGGUGAGUAACGCGUAGGUAACCUGCCUGGUAGCGGGGGAUAACUAUUGGAAACGAUAGCUAAUACCGCAUAAUAUUGAUUAUUGCAUGAUAAUUGAUUGAAAGAUGCUAUUGCAUCACUACCAGAUGGACCUGCGUUGUAUUAGCUAGUAGGUGAGGUAACGGCUCACCUAGGCGACGAUACAUAGCCGACCUGAGAGGGUGAUCGGCCACCCUGGGACUGAGACACGGCCCCGACUCCUACGGGAGGCAGCAGUAGGGAAUCUUCGGCAAUGGGCGAAAGUCUGACCGAGCAACGCCGCGUGAGUGAAGAAGGUUUUCGGAUCGUAAAGCUCUGUUGUAAGAGAAGAACGGGUGUGAGAGUGGAAAGUUCACACUGUGACGGUAUCUUACCAGAAAGGGACGGCUAACUACGUG